Molecule: long non-coding RNA, 1135 nt
Organism: Brassica napus (rape)
Lineage: Eukaryota; Viridiplantae; Streptophyta; Magnoliopsida; Brassicales; Brassicaceae
Exons: 5
Source: RefSeq, a predicted model, not a curated record
ACACCCCGAUCGUGUUUCUCCGACAAACACCGCCUGAGACACCGAGGAAGAAGACGACUUUGCCAUCAAUUGAACGGAAGAUUGAAUCCGUUCACCAGUCUCGUCUCUCACCGAAAAAGUUCCUCCUUUCUCUUUGUUUAGCUCUACAUUUAGUAACUUGUUUCUUCCUCUGAAUCAAUCCCUUCCACUUUGAGAUAGAUAGCAGGGAAUUAGAAAAAUCUGUGCUGUGAGCUUUGGGAUUUGAAGGAUGCUGUGAAGUAUAUGUGUGGUGAUAUGCGUACCAAGUACCUCGCUUUCUUGAGAAUAUCUGAAUGGAGCACGAGUUGGUUGAGCUACGGAAGCAAGCAUUUGUUAGUUAAUAACCUUGUUACACAACUCUCCCCAUCAAAACUGAAAACCGCAGGAGCACCUGUGCACCGUUGCGUCCCAGCAUGCUGGAGAGUUUCUCUUGACUUUUCCUCGGGCAUAUCAUGCUUGAUUUAACUGUGCUGAAGCUGUGAAUGUACUGGCUGCCUCAUUGGCAAAUUGCUAUAGAGUUAUACUGCCCACAGGGUAGAAAAACGUCCAUCUCGCAUGAUAAAUUGUUGCUUGGGAAGCAAGAGAAGUAGUGAAAGCAGACGACUGGCAAAAAUACAAUAGACAACUUGAGGUGGAAAGAGUUUAGUGGAAAGGAUGGGAUUUUGGAAAGACACUCAAAGGCACGCAUUGAUAUGGAACGUACACGAAGAGAGCUUCUGUGCAGCUCUUCACUUUCAUCGAAGAUACAUAGUAAUUUUGAUGUUAUUGUUAAAACACGUUUUACGUGUUGGUCGGCAUGGACGGUGACGACAUGGACGGUGACGAUAUGGACGGUGUGUUGAAAUUGUUUACGUUGGUUUUGUCAAAGAUUGUGAGCUCACCAAACACCUUCUUCAUGCUUAUAAAAGGAGAGCUGAGGUGAAGAAGAAAGGCAUCCCAAAAACAAGAAAACAAAGAUAGAACGAGAGAAGAGAAAACAGUUCAACAUCACUCUAUUAGUAUUGACGUCUGUUUUGAAAGUCCAAAGUACAUUGAACUGAAAGAGAUUAUAAAAAAAUCAACUCUGAUAAUACUCUUUUUUCUAAUUUUAGCUCUUAAAGUUAUAUUUUAGCACUAA